GGAGAUCUACUCGUCUUGCAACUGCCGAAGACAAGCCUCGAAUGUAGAGGGACCUAUACCUUUUGAAAGACUGAAAUUGUUUUUCCCACAAGAGGAUUUACAACAUUGCAAUUAACUCAAAAGAGAUUUCCUACAUACUCACAUGCUACCCCUGAAGGAUUCCGAGCUAGUCAUCUUGAGGAUAGGAGACCAUGCUGUAAAAGGGAUCCAGCAGAUAGCCUGCAACAGCCAUCAAGACUAUGACUUGGCCUGUACAGCCCCAGAUGAGCUGCCGGAUGACAGUGGCCACAUGAGUGACCCCAGGAAAAGAAAGUCCUACAGCCGUCGCAACUUUGUAAUACCACUGAAGUCUAGAAAGCGAUAAUCUGCAAUUAGUCAAGGCUGCAAACCACUUCAUGGAACUCUGUCAAACAUUAAGCUGUUGGUGGAAGGACGGCAAGUAAACAGUCUACGUCAUCAAAGGACUCAGCGCAUUGUCAUCACCUAUUAGAAACUGAGCGAUGUGGGCAAGGAACCAAGAUCCUUCAGGAAAAUGACAUGAACUUUCUUUCAUACUGUGUGUUACAAGUGAGUGCUAGACUGAGAAAAUACUUCCCACCGUGUCCCUCCCACUGUGAGUGGAUAUAACACUUCUACUUGAAUGGCUUUGGAGCUGUAUGGUUCUGUAAAUGUCAUCAUCAGAUUCUUUUAAGUGGAUAUCAUUUUCUUAAAGCCUGGAACGUGUAUGUGUGUAUAGACACCCAGGUAGGGUUAAACAGGUUGACUGGAAAUUGCUUUUUCACUCAGACUUUUAGUUGCAGGGCAAAUCUGCUAAACAGACACUGUCCCAGACACUCUGAGGAGAAACAGAGAAAUCCACAAACAUGAAAACUAAUGCAGAGUUAACAAAAAUAUUAAAUGAACCCAGCAUGCACUGGCAUAAUUAGCGUGAGGACCCUUGGAUUCAUCAUACUUUCCAGGUAAACAGAAUCUCCAGGGUUUAGAAUAGAUUCUGGCACAUAAUGAAUGCUUCAUGAUUAUUUCCUUGAAAACACACACAUACCACAUUCAUAGCACAUUGAUAUCUAUUACGUUUGUAGAGGAUAACUUCUUGAUUGCUAUAUUUACUAAUUUUUUAAAGGUUUAUUUUGACUACAGAAUUUUAUGCUCAAUCAUUGGAAAUUUGAAAAUAGAGAAAUUUUGAAAAAAAAUCACCCACAGUUCAAUCAAACCAAAGACUUUAAUCCUAUUUACACUUUGGAGUGUCUUCCCUCAGUGCUAUUUUGUUUUUAUGCGGGCUGAUUUUUCUUUUAGUGUGUAUGAUAGUUCACACAUGAUUUCCAUUUUCACUUUUUCUUUCCUUAUAGCAUAUACACAUUUAUCAUGAGUUUUAAUGAACAAUAUUAUAAUAUCCUAUUCUGUGAAUAGACUUUGAAAUGUGUGGUCUCUGAGGUUUUCCUUUAAAAAAUAAGGUUUAAAUGAACAUAUUUAGGAAAAACGUUUUUCUUUAUUGAAUUUAUUUUUGUAAGCUUGGGCCCCAGAAAUGGAAUUCCUAGUAAAAAGAUAAGAACAGCUUAAGUUUUUGAUACAUCAACUAUCUAACUGUUCUUAUGUCUUUGCCAUCAUUUCUUAAACUUUGCAAAUCUGGCAGGAGUGCAUGUGUUGAAUUUGGGUAACGCAGUUCAGGUUUAUGAGAAUGUUAUGAUGUUUGAGCAUUUUUCAUAUAUUGCAUUUCUAUUAUUUUUCUUCAUUUGUAAAUUAUACACCAUCAUUUUCUUAUUGCUCUUUCUUAAUUUUUCUAUAUUAAAGAUAUUAAUAGAUAUUUUCUAUAUUAAAGAUUUCUCAGCUACAUGUGCUACAAACACUUUCUUCUGAUUUUGUUCUUUAUAUUUUUAUUCUUGGCAUGUAGACAAUCUUGACCUUUAUAGAAUCAAAUCCGAUUCUUUGAAAUCAAAUCUAUGAAUCUUUUUUUAAAUUCUAUCUAUUUUAUAUGCUUAUUAGUCUUUUUUCUCUGGACUCUAGAGUAUAGAGAUUUAAAAAAAUGCAUAUUUUUCUUCCAGUUUUAUAUGGUUUAAUUAAGUC
RNAcentral lists this long non-coding RNA (2061 nucleotides) under Equus caballus (horse). RNAcentral describes it as "lncRNA (ENSECAG00000053859.1)". The record is from RNAcentral. Lineage: Eukaryota; Metazoa; Chordata; Mammalia; Perissodactyla; Equidae.